This 249-nucleotide long non-coding RNA is filed under the name Prunus persica (peach). Its description in RNAcentral is "long non-coding RNA (PPER_LNC006408)". Lineage: Eukaryota; Viridiplantae; Streptophyta; Magnoliopsida; Rosales; Rosaceae. The record is from RNAcentral.
CUGGAAUAAGGAAUCCACUCAACAUAUCUAUCCUCCAGAUAUUAAGGAAUAAACCCUCAUUCAGAUUCUCUAUAAAUAUGAUAGGGGUGAACAGGAUUGAGGAUAGCAAAAAAUUCAAUCAAAAUGAAAACUCUCAAGUCAUACUGAUAAAUUCAAAACAAGAUCAUACGACCUCAAAAGCCUUCAGACUCUGAAGCAAUCAAGCUCUUUGAUUUAUAAAAGACAUCCAGUCUCUGAUAGAACAGGCAG